GCUUGUCUCAAAGAUUAAGCCAUGCACGUCUAAGUAUAAGCGAUUAUACUGUGAAACUGCGAAUGGCUCAUUAUAUCAGUUAUAGUUUAUUUGAUGGUCCUUGCUACUUGGAUAACCGUAGUAAUUCUAGAGCUAAUACAUGCAUAAAUCCCCGACUGCUUGGAAGGGGUGUAUUUAUUAGAUAAGAAACCUUCCCCUUUGGGUUGCGUGCCGAGUCACAAUAACUGCUCGAAUCGCAUGGCUUCACGCCGGCGAUGGUUCAUUCAAAUUUCUGCCCUAUCAGCUUUCGAUGGUAGGAUCGAGGCCUACCAUGGCGUUUACGGGUAACGGAGAAUUAGGGUUCGAUUCCGGAGAGGGAGCCUGAGAGAUGGCUACCACAUCCAAGGAAGGCAGCAGG
Molecule: ribosomal RNA, 397 nt
Filed under: Chrysochromulina parva
Lineage: Eukaryota; Haptophyta; Prymnesiales; Chrysochromulinaceae
Description: partial small subunit ribosomal RNA
Rfam family: Eukaryotic small subunit ribosomal RNA
Source: RNAcentral